RNAcentral lists this long non-coding RNA (1444 nucleotides) under Nicotiana benthamiana. RNAcentral's name for it is "long non-coding RNA (NBEN_LNC034456)". The record is from RNAcentral. Lineage: Eukaryota; Viridiplantae; Streptophyta; Magnoliopsida; Solanales; Solanaceae.
UAGAAACUGAAACACCUUAUUCUCAUCAUUUUCCUGUAUUAUACCAUCUUUGGUAGCACAAACACAUCUCUGACCAUGAUUUGUACACAUAGAUUCUAAUUCAUCCCACAGACCUUUAAGUUUAUUGAAAUAUGAAGCUACAUCUAGGGACCCUUGAGAGGUGUGAGAAAGCUCUCUUUUCAAUUCAAAAAUUUUGGUCAUGUUGGUAGUGCCAUAUCUUGCCUGAAGCUGGAACCAUAUACUCUGUGCAGUAUCAGAAUACUGCAGACUUUCAGCAAUUUGAAGGGAGAGGGAGGCAGUCAACCAGGAAAUCACCAUAUUAUUGCAUCUGUCCAAUAGUCUUUGCUGAGUCACAUUAGUGACUGGCUGGGGACAGGUGCCAUCAACAAAACCAAUUUUGUUUUUAGCAGACAACGCGACAAUCAUCUUCCUCCUCCAACCCCCAUAGCCACUGCCCGAGAAGGGAGUGGACACAAGAGAGACUCCAGGAACAUCAGAGGAGUAGAUAAAAAGGGGACUGGUAGGGUCCACUAAGGAGGUACUAGCAUUCAUAUUAGAAGCCAUGAACAACAAUCAGUUUGAAAUAAAAAAAAACAGUCUCAUGAUAAAAAGGGGACUGGUAGAGUCCACUGAGGAGGUACUAGCAUUAAUAUUAGAAGCCAUGAACAAUAAUCAGUUUGAAAUAUAAAAAAACAGUCUCAGAACCCACAUGCAAAACAUACAACACUUAGAAUAGGGAUAGAGUUACCCUUCUUCUUCGCGACCGGAGAAGAACGACCUUCAAUCGCCAGAUAAAACCCUAGGUUCAAAACCCUAGGUCCAAACGCCGGAAACCUUACUGGAAACUUACCGAAAUAGGGUCAGGGAUGUCGGAAAAUCACCCAAAACAUCCACUGAGUGAGGAUCGAGCCACCGAAUAGCAGUAAAACCCUAGGUUCAACAACCAGAAACCCUAGAAUCUAGAGAGUCACCGGAAAAUCACCCAAAAGUCACCGGAAAAUCACCCAAAACGUUCGAGUGAAGAAGAUAUAGCCAGAUAUCACGAUGAAAGUCUCAGAAGAGGAUCGAUCCACCGGAUAGCAGUAAAACCCUAGGUUCAACCACCAAAAACUCUAGAAUCUGGAGAGUCACCGGAAAAAGGUCAGGGAUGUCGGAAAAUCACCCAAAACAUCCACUGAGUGAAGAUCGAAGCAUCAAACAGCAGUAAAAGCUCCGAUUAUCCGUUCAAUAUACAUCGUUCUCUCGGUAAACAGAAUCUCUCACAAAUAUCCAAGAAAAAACCUUCAAUAAGACUUCCAACACGGCCGAUAACAAGUAACGGAGAAGAAUCCGAGGAUCAUCCUACUCUGAUACCAUGAAAACAUACGGAUUGAAGGCAAAGUAGUGAGAGAUACAGUGAGAGAAAGAGAGAGAAGAUGGGAGAACUCUUUGGAAUGUCCAAGAG